RNAcentral lists this ribosomal RNA (257 nucleotides) under uncultured bacterium. RNAcentral describes it as "partial 16S ribosomal RNA". It matches the Rfam family "Bacterial small subunit ribosomal RNA", at positions 524 to 777 of the family's 1533-position model. The record is from RNAcentral.
UACAGAGGGUGCAAGCGUUAAUCGGAAUUACUGGGCGUAAAGCGUGCGUAGACGGUUAUGUAAGUCAGGUGUGAAAGCCCCGGGCUCAACCUGGGAAUGGCAUUUGAGACUGCAUAGCUAGGGUGCGGAAGAGGGAAGCGGAAUUUCCGGUGUAGCGGUGAAAUGCGUAGAGUAUCGAGAGGAACACCUGCGGCGAAGGCGGGUUGCCUGGGCUGAUGACUGACGCUGAGGCGCGAAAGCCAGGGGAGCGAACGGGA